Cucumis sativus (cucumber) is the source of this 324-nucleotide long non-coding RNA. RefSeq lists it as uncharacterized. The record is from RefSeq and is a predicted model, not a curated record. Lineage: Eukaryota; Viridiplantae; Streptophyta; Magnoliopsida; Cucurbitales; Cucurbitaceae. The transcript has 2 exons.
CUCCUUCGGUUACUUCCGCGUUCAUCGCGGAGGUUCCGUUUGGAUACACGAUCUGUAUUGUACCUGUGCCUCUGAGGACGAUGCCGUACUCCGCUGCCGUUGGAUUUACGUGCGGUGCCAUCAUUGAUCCCUGUAUUUGAGAAACUUGCUCCAAACCCUAGGCGAUUCAGUGUCUGAGAUGUAAACGAUUGGACCCUGUCGUUGUCUUGAUAAAAUCCUUCUCAAUUCUGUAUAAGAAACCUGUGGAGUACACUGAAUUGUGAGAAAUCUAGUUGAUGUUUGGAAAUUAGAGAGGCAGAUUAGGGAUUUUAGUCGAAUUUCUCA